AAAAAAGCGAUGAAUGGAAAGAGUACCACAGAAAUUUUUUACAGAGAAAGAGGGUCAUCGGCUGGAAGCCUUCUAAAAAGGAAUGUGUGAAAGUGCCUCCAGAAGCUGACAGCUAAUCCCUGUUCGUAAUCCUGCGUUAAAGGAAGAAAAGCGGAGGAAUGUAUCCUCAAGUAGAGUGGAACCGCGGAAUAUUUCGUCUCUAUA
This 204-nucleotide non-coding RNA is filed under the name Bacillota bacterium. RNAcentral's name for it is "Firmicutes bacterium T-box sequence". It matches the Rfam family "T-box leader". Rfam says of the family: Uncharged tRNA acts as the effector for transcription antitermination of genes in the T-box leader family. The record is from RNAcentral. Lineage: Bacteria; Bacillati; Bacillota.